AAGUCCAUUUUUACGUUAUUUCGUACUAUAUUGUACAAUUCCUUUGUUUGGGGAAUUUUUUUAUCACGCGAUAAAAAAUGAAAUUAUAGAAUGGAUACCUAUGACUAGAUCUAGGAUAAAUGGAAAUUUUAUUGAUAAGACCUUUACCAUUGUAGAGCCCAAUAUCUUAUUACGAAUAAUUCCGACAACUUCUGGAGAAAAAGAGGCAUUCACUUAUUACAGAGAUGGUGCGAUUUGAUUAUUUUUUUUUACACUUCAGAGACAAAUAAAAAAAAAAUGGAAAAAAAAAACCUACGCUUGCUGAAGGUGAAGUUUGGAAAUAAAAAAAACGAUUAAUCCCUUCUGUCGUGUAUUCCCGAUUAAUGCAGCCUCGAUAUGCUUCAAUUUUAGGUAGUAUUAAGCGAAAGGUUAUACCUAUAUAUACCUAUGGGGUUAGGUGAAUCCUACUCCACUAGUACCAAUAGGGGGCAUGGGGGAAGAAGCACUACGCUAGGGAAUCAACGACAGGAGAAAACUUUGUAAAAAAAUCCUUCCUUUCUUCUUAUCGGGAUCGGGACUAACUAGAAUGGUUGGGACAACAAACAUCCAUCUCGUUCGUAUUUUGGAUACCCAUAUAACCAUCGAAGACUGUCGAAGUGACUAAUUCCGGGAAAUUAAGCGGCGUUGAGGACAAAGAAAUUGUUGAAGUUACUAUUUAUCCAGUAAUAACUUACUAAAUGUUAAUAAAAGAUCCUUUACAGAAAGGUUGGCUAGAGAUUUCAUCAACAACAGGAGAAAACUUUGUAAAAAAAUCCUUCCUUUCUUCUUAUCGGGAUCGGGACUAACUAGAAUGGUUGGGACAACAAACAUCCAUCUCGUUCGUAUUUUGGAUACCCAUAUAACCAUCGAUGACUGUUGAAGUGACUAAUUCCGGGAAAUUAAGCGGCGUUGAGGACAAAGAAAUUGUUGAAGUUACUAUUUAUCCAGUAAUAACUUACUAAAUGUUAAUAAAAGAUCCUUUACAGAAAGGUUGGCUAGAGACUUCGUGUAAAAACACUAGUCCCGCUCAGUUGAUAAUGAGAAUAUUGCAAUCUUUUUUGAUUCCAUGGAUGUUUAUCAUUAUCCACAUAAAGGAGGAGCCGUAUGAGAUGACAAUCUCACGUACGGUUCCGGAACGGAGAUUCUUUGAACCGAGUGACGACCGUAACGGAUGUCGGCUCAAUCGGAAGGAAAUUAUGCGGAAGCUUUACAGAAUUAUUAUGAGGCUAUGCGACUGGAAAUUGAUCCCUAUGAUCGAAAGUUAAUAAAAGAUCCUUUACAGAAAGGUUGGCUAGAGAUUUCGUGUAAAAACACUAGUCCCGCUCAGUUGAUAAUGAGAAUAUUGCAAUCUUUUUUGAUUCCAUGGAUGUUUAUCAUUAUCCACAUAGAGGAGGAGCCGUAUGAGAUGACAAUCUCACGUACGGUUCUGGAACGGAGAUUCUUUGAACCGAGUGACGACCGUAACGGAUGUCGGCUCAAUCGGAAGGAAAUUAUGCGGAAGCUUUACAGAAUUAUUGUGAGGCUAUGCGACUGGAAAUUGAUCCCUAUGAUCGAAGUUAUAUACUUUAUAACAUAGGCCUUAUCCACACAAGUAACGGAGAACAUACAAAAGCUUUGGAAUACUAUUUUCGGGCACUCGAACGAAGCCCUUUCUUACCUCAAGCUUUUAACAAUAUGGCCGUGAUCUGUCAUUACGUGCGACUAUCUCCACUAUAGAAAGAAAAAAGAAAAGAACCUCCACUAAUAGUAAUAAAUACUAGACAAAAAAAAUAGAAUUACAGAAUUAUUAUGAGGCUAUGCGACUGGAAAUUGAUCCCUAUGAUCGAAGUUAUAUACUUUAUAACAUAGGCCUUAUCCACACAAGUAACGGAGAACAUACAAAAGCUUUGGAAUACUAUUUUCGGACACUCGAACGAAACCCUUUCUUACCUCAAGCUUUUAACAAUAUGGCCGUGAUCUGUCAUUACGUGCGACUAUCUCCACUAUAGAAAGAAAAAAGAAAAGAACCUCCACUAAUAGUAAUAAAUACUAGACAAAGAAAAUAGAAAUAGGCUUUCUACAUAGAUAUCGUUCGAAACAACGAUUUUUAUGAGCUGUAUGAAAGAAACUUCAUAGAAGUAAAAAUAUGAAGAAAUAGAAUAUAUAUGCCUAGAUACUUUUUUCUAUGAAUAAAAGAUCUAAUUGAUAGAGGAAGCACCGUAAAGAUCAAUUAACAAGGUUUUUGGCCGAUACAACAAGAACUGCUUACUUAUAUGAUGAUAGAUUAGAAAUCAACUUAUGUAAUAAAGUUGAUCCCAU
Molecule: long non-coding RNA, 2316 nt
Filed under: Lathyrus oleraceus (garden pea)
Lineage: Eukaryota; Viridiplantae; Streptophyta; Magnoliopsida; Fabales; Fabaceae
Source: RNAcentral